GGGUGCGAUUAUACCAGCACUAAUGCAACGUAUCCCAUCAGAACUCCGCAGUUAAGCGUGCUUGGGCUUGGGCGAGAGUAGUACUAGGAUGGGUGACCUCUUGGGAAGUUCUCUUGUUGCACCGU
This is a non-coding RNA of Corchorus olitorius, 125 nucleotides long. Lineage: Eukaryota; Viridiplantae; Streptophyta; Magnoliopsida; Malvales; Malvaceae. The record is from Rfam.